GCGCUCACUUCGGCAGCACAUAUACUAAAAUUGGGACAAUACAGAGAAGAUUAGCAUGACCCCUGUGCAAUGAUGCCAUGCAAAUUCGUGAAGCAUUCCGUAUUUAA
Molecule: small nuclear RNA, 107 nt
Organism: Lynx canadensis (Canada lynx)
Lineage: Eukaryota; Metazoa; Chordata; Mammalia; Carnivora; Felidae
Source: Ensembl